This 394-nucleotide long non-coding RNA is filed under the name Drosophila guanche. The record is from RNAcentral. Lineage: Eukaryota; Metazoa; Arthropoda; Insecta; Diptera; Drosophilidae.
CACCCACAAGUCUUUCAUGACUUUAGCAGCUCUUGGCACAUUUUCUGUGCACUUUUCACAGUUUUCAACUAACAAUGGUUUCUCGAGGAGGUAGAAAAGGAAGCGAAGAGGAGUCAAAGGCAGAGGCAGAUUAUAACAGUUGUUAAAUUGUUCCCACUAUUGCCGGUUCAUGCGUGCUAAGAAAACAGUUUGAGAUCCACUGUACCUGCUAGAUGGAUGUUUCGUAGCCCGCAACCAAUGACUGUUUAUGCGCGAUUUAUGAACCGGGGCCGGCCACUGCAACGGGCUCUGGCUGUUGGUGCAACAUGCAUGAGGCAUGACACGCCCCGCCCCCACCACUAGCAACUAGCAGCGCUUUCAUAACGGCCCACGCUGGGUGGCAGCUUCACUUCGU